CCUACGGGGGGCUGCAGUAGGGAAUAUUGGUCAAUGGGUGAGAGCCUGAACCAGCCAUGCCGCGUGCAGGAAGACGGCCUUCUGGGUUGUAAACUGCUUUUAUCUGGGGAUAAAAAGGCCUUGCGAGGCACAUUGAAGGUACCAGCUGAAUAAGCACCGGCUAACUACGUGCCAGCAGCCGCGGUAAUACGUAGGGUGCAAGCGUUGUCUGGAUUUAAAGGGUUUGUAGGGGGCGUAUUAAGUCUGUGGAGAAAGCCAACAGCUCAACUGGUGAUGUGCCAAUGAUACUGAUGGACUUGAGUACAGACGAGGUAGGCGGAAUUGACAGUGUAGCGGUGAAAUGCAUAGAUAUUGUCAAGAACACCGAUAGCGAAGGCAGCUUGCUAGCCUGUAACUGACGCUGAGGCACGAAAGUAUGGGGAGCAAACAGGAUUAGAUACCCUGGUAGUC
Molecule: ribosomal RNA, 450 nt
Filed under: uncultured bacterium
Lineage: Bacteria
Description: partial 16S ribosomal RNA
Rfam family: Bacterial small subunit ribosomal RNA
Source: RNAcentral